RNAcentral lists this ribosomal RNA (776 nucleotides) under uncultured Neocallimastigales. Its description in RNAcentral is "partial large subunit ribosomal RNA". It matches the Rfam family "Eukaryotic large subunit ribosomal RNA", at positions 26 to 628 of the family's 3401-position model. The record is from RNAcentral. Lineage: Eukaryota; Fungi; Neocallimastigomycota; Neocallimastigomycetes; Neocallimastigales.
CGCAUCUGUGCAUGCAGCAUAUCAAUAAGCGGAGGAAAAGAAACUAACAAGGAUUCCCCUAGUAACGGCGAGUGAAGCGGGAAGAGCUCAAAUUUGAAAUCUUAAAGGGUUUCCCUUUACGAAUUGUAGUUUAAAGAAGUGUUUUCUGUUGAGGUUUUGGUAAAAGUUCUUUGGAAUAGGACAUCAUAGAGGGUGAGAAUCCCGUAUUUGACCUUUACUUUCAACUUUGUGAUACAGCUUUCAAAGAGUCGGAUUGUUUGGGAAUGCAGUCCAAAAUGGGUGGUAAAUUUCAUCUAAAGCUAAAUAUUGGCGAGAGACCGAUAGCGAACAAGUACCGUGAGGGAAAGAUGAAAAGAACUUUGAAAAGAGAGUUAAACAGUACGUGAAAUUGUCAAAAGGGAAGCGUUUGACACCAGUGUUGUUUUUCUGAAAAUCAAUUAAAGAACUGUUUAUGCUAAGCUUGUUUAGACUUUAUCAGCUAUCUGUUUAGUUUUGAGCUUUUCUUUAAUGCACUUUUCAGUUAACAAGUCAACAUCAAUUUCUUUUGCUGUAAAAAAGCUUGAGGAAGGUGGCUUGAGAUUCGUCUUAAGUGUUUAUAGCCUCUUGCCUAUGCAGUCGGAGAGAUUGAGGUCUGCAGCGUAGAUCCUUCGGGGCUAAAUGCAUUUGUGCUAAGUUAUAGCAUUUUAUAGACAACUUGUUGACUAUGAUUUGUCUUGUAGCUUACUCGCUUAUGUUAUUUUACCUACGCUUAGGAUGUUGAGUCGUAGAGCACGCAG